GACGAACGCUGGCGGCGUGCUUAACACAUGCAAGUCGAACGGAAAGGCCCUGCUUUUGUGGGGUGCUCGAGGGGCGAACGGGUGAGUAACACGUGAGUAACCUGCCCUUGACUUUGGGAUAACUUCAGGAAACUGCGGCUAAUACCGGAUAGGAGCUCCUGCUGCAUGGGGGGGGUUGGAAAGUUUCGGCGGUUGGGGAUGGACUCGCGGCUUAUCAGCUUGUUGGUGGGGUAGUGGCUUACCAAGGCUUUGACGGGUAGCCGGCCUGAGAGGGUGACCGGCCACAUUGGUACUGAGAUACGGCCCAGACGCCUACGGGAGGCAGCAGUGGGGAAUAUUGCACAAUGGGCGGAAGCCUGAUGCAGCAACGCCGCGUGCGGGAUGACGGCCUUCGGGUUGUAAACCGCUUUCGCCUGUGACGAAGCGUGAGUGACGGUAAUGGGUAAAGAAGCACCGGCUAACUACGUG
Molecule: ribosomal RNA, 468 nt
Filed under: uncultured bacterium
Lineage: Bacteria
Description: partial 16S ribosomal RNA
Rfam family: Bacterial small subunit ribosomal RNA
Source: RNAcentral